Molecule: ribosomal RNA, 495 nt
Filed under: Onthophagus coscineus
Lineage: Eukaryota; Metazoa; Arthropoda; Insecta; Coleoptera; Scarabaeidae
Description: partial 16S ribosomal RNA
Rfam family: Bacterial large subunit ribosomal RNA
Source: RNAcentral
AGUCUGACCUGCCCUAUGAUAUAAAAUUAAAUGGCCGCGAUAAUUUGAUCGUGCAAAGGUAGCAUAAUAAUUAGUUUCUUAAUUAGGAACUGGAAUGAAAGGUUGAACGAAAAAAUAACUGUCUCAGUUUAAAUUUAAUUAGAAUUUUAUUUUUAAGUUAGAAAGCUUAAAUAAAUUUUAAAGACGAGAAGACCCUAUAGAGUUUUAUAUUUAUUUAUUUAUUUUUUAUUUUAAGAAUUAAAAUUUGAGAUCUAUAAUAUAAGUAUUUAAUUGGGGUGAUUAAAAAAUUUAAUAAACUUUUUUUUUAUUAAAACAUUGGUUUAUGAUUAGUUGAUCCAUAUAUAAUGAUUAAAAGAUUAAAUUACCUUAGGGAUAACAGCGUAAUUUUUUUUGAGAGUUCUUAUCGAAAAAAUAGAUUGCGACCUCGAUGUUGGAUUAAAAUUAAUUUAUGGUGUAGAAGCUAUAUAAAUUAGUCUGUUCGACCUUUAAAAUUUU